Molecule: non-coding RNA, 223 nt
Organism: Pelobates cultripes (western spadefoot toad)
Lineage: Eukaryota; Metazoa; Chordata; Amphibia; Anura; Pelobatidae
Source: the annotation of a GenBank genome assembly
CUAGUGGAUGCAGGAGCUUCUGGGUCUGUCAGAUGUAGUAGAGGAGGAGACAAAUACCCAGUGGACCCCAGGUAAGAAGUCAGACACUUCUAAAAUGGUUUGACUACUUAAACCCUUAAGGACCAAACUUCUGGAAUAAAAGGGAAUCAUGACAUGUCACACAUGUCAUGUGUCCUUAAGGGGUUAAACCACAAAGUGCCAUAACCAUUAUUAAAGACAUAAA